GGAUGCGAUCAUACCAGCACUAAAGCACCAGAUCCCAUCAGAACUCCGUAGUUAAGCGUGCUUGGGCGAGAGUAGUACUAGGAUGGGUGACCUCCUGGGAAGUCCUCGUGUUGCAUUCC
RNAcentral lists this ribosomal RNA (119 nucleotides) under Triticum aestivum (bread wheat). The record is from RNAcentral. Lineage: Eukaryota; Viridiplantae; Streptophyta; Magnoliopsida; Poales; Poaceae.